CUACUGCCGGCGACCGGCGCACGGGUGAGUAACACGUAUGAAACCUGCCCGUAGCAGGGGGAUAAGCGGAAGAAAUUCCGUCUAAUACCGCGUAACAACCCGAGGAGGCAUCUCCUCGGGUUUAAAGGAAGCGAUUCCGGCUACGGAUGGUCAUGCGUCGCAUUAGCUAGUUGGCGGGGUAACGGCCCACCAAGGCGACGAUGCGUAGGGGUUCUGAGAGGAAGGUCCCCCACAUUGGAACUGAGACACGGUCCAAACUCCUACGGAAGGCAGCAG
Molecule: ribosomal RNA, 276 nt
Filed under: uncultured bacterium
Lineage: Bacteria
Description: partial 16S ribosomal RNA
Rfam family: Bacterial small subunit ribosomal RNA
Source: RNAcentral